GUUUAGCAGGCGAUCAGAAGAUCCUAGGACAACGAUUGUUUCAUGUGAUUGUGUUUAGCAGGCGAUCAGAAUAUCCUAGGACAAUGAUUGUUUCAUGUGAUUGUGUUUAGCAGACGAUUAAAUUAUCCUAGGACAACGAUUCUGUCAUCAGAUUAUGUUUAGCAGGCGAUAAAAACAUCCUGGGACAACUAUUCUUUCAUCAGAUUGUAAGUAUUGAAUUUGUUUAUCAUUUUCAUAGGUAAUUUGUGUGACUAGCACACGGAAAACCUGCAAAAAUGUAAUUUUUGUGCUUCUAUGUGCUAAGUUUUAUUUUUUUAGGUGUUUAGCAGGCGAUCAGAAUGUCAUAGGACAAUGAUUGUUUCAUCUGAUUGUAGGUAUUGAAUUUGUUUAUCAUUGUCAUAGGUAAUUUGGGUAAUUAGCACACGGGAUACCUGCAAAAAUGUCAUUUUUGUGCUUUGAUGUGCUGAUUUUUUUGUUUUUUUAGGUGUUUAGCAGGCAAUCAAAAUGUCCUAGGACAACUAUGUUUUAAUCAGGCUGUUAGUAUUGAAUUUGUUUAUCAUUUUUUUGAGUUAUUUUUUGUCAUUAGCACACGGGAAACCUGCAAAAAUGCCAUUUUUGCGCUUCGAUUUGCUAUUUUUUUGUUAUUUUAGGUGUCUAGCAGGCGAACAAAAUGUCAUAUGGCAACAAUUCUUUUAUCAGAUUGUGUUUAGCAGGCGAUCAGAAUAUCCUAGGACAUCGAUUGUUUCAUCUGAUUGU
Long non-coding RNA from Dalotia coriaria, 756 nucleotides. RefSeq lists it as uncharacterized. The record is from RefSeq and is a predicted model, not a curated record. Lineage: Eukaryota; Metazoa; Arthropoda; Insecta; Coleoptera; Staphylinidae. The transcript has 5 exons.